Molecule: long non-coding RNA, 2102 nt
Filed under: Carica papaya (papaya)
Lineage: Eukaryota; Viridiplantae; Streptophyta; Magnoliopsida; Brassicales; Caricaceae
Description: long non-coding RNA (CPAP_LNC010600)
Source: RNAcentral
UAGUCGUCCUGUUCAUAUAUAUUAAUCAUCUUAAUCCUUUAUAACAUGCCAAUAGCUAUGUCCUAGCGAUGGUGUUCAGAGUGCUUGUGACAACCAUUUAUCAACAAGAGCGAAAAGAAGUGAAAUGAAAUAAAGUUAUUACGUGUUUGCAUCGAGGAUGGGAAAAUAUCAAAAGUAAAAUAAAAGUACUCUCUUUAUCUUUGCUGUUUGAUGUUCCAUCUCUUUAUCUUGUUAAUCAAUCUUCUCAUGAAAUUGUUCAACAAAACCCACAUCAAAAUGAAAUGAAAAAAGCAAAAAAUUCUUAAACUAAUACCCAAAAGAAAUAGACUAAAACACAGCCCCGGCCCUAUCUCACAAUGCAAAGACCAAAUUAAUCAUCUGAUUACCUCUCCUAUCCCAUAAUCCUAAACAAUAGAAACCUUUAAAAUCACAAACAUAAAACAGCAUAACUUACAACCAUCUGUUUCCAUGAUUCUAAAGUAUUUCACGCAGUGCAAAGUGAAGAAAUUAGAUAUGCAAAGGACAAUGGAAAAGGAUUUGCCUGCAUUUAAUUCCAAACACUGCAGAAGACACCUAUAGAAACUUGAUUACAAAGCAGACAAGAAUAGUGCUUACUCCUAACAUUCUUCUCAGAGUUAACUUAAUUAAACACUCCAUGGAGUUUAAUAGAAAAGCAAAAUCCGUAUCUAAUCACAAAAUUGCUAAAGCAAGAACAACAUUCACUCAAUCAUUUGAAUCAAGAAUGUGCAACCUCAUAAUCACUGCUCAAUCUAUCUCAUAUCAGUAUCCUUCUUCCAACUACAUGGCAACCACUCAUUUACCCAGUCUACGAAAUGAUGAAACAUCAUAGUAUCCUCAUUUACGUAAUGAUCCACAGGCUACUCCCCAAGAUAAAAGAAUACUUGACAACAAUGUCGAAGUGAUAUCACAGCAACUCAAAGUCUAUCCAAAAAUGAUCCUCAUAGCAUGACUCACAAAUUAACUUCAAAAUAAAGUAGAAUGACCCAUUAAGAUUUCCGUCAUUGUUAUGUUAAAUAAAUACCACACUAUAUCAUGUAGUAAACGCAUAUCUACAAAUGCUCAUCUUCAAAUUAAUCUUGUGAAUCAGAUGUGAACAAUUUCAUCACAUUACACAAAUUUAUCUCAAGUCGACGUUCCUUAAUUAAAUGAAUCAAAUCGGGGAUUUUGCGAAUCAAUUACCAGUACGUACAAACCUUCUCGGCUAAAAUCAUUGAAUCAACUUGAUUCUUGGGUUUUCCGCUCCUUUCCUUCUACCUGCUUUUCAGUAUUCUUCUUCACUAAACUGAUCCCCACUCAGCACAAAACACAAGAAAAGCCUCCCCUGUAAACUGACUGUAAUCCUCCCCCUUUCAAAACCCGAACACUCCCUCCUUCCAGAGUUCCAAAAUCUCUGUCCCUUUUCCCUAAUAGAGCUCUGCCUAUGUUUAUUCGAAACCUUAACUUAAAAACUGUAAUUCCCUAUCCCCUUCCUUCAAAAAUCAACCCCUCAACUCACUGUGUUACCCCAAAAUCCAUAAGAAGCCCAAAAUCCCUAAUCUUCUUUUGGUAUUAUUUUUAUUAUUAUUUUUUUUUCUGAGAAGUCCCUACUCCCCCUUUUAAACCCCUUUUCACUCAAUCCAAGCCGCUCCUUGAAGCAGUUGCCAACCAUCCUACAAGUCGUGCUCCAACCACCAAUCCUUUCCCACCAGCUUAUCCUCUCUUUACUCGAUAUCUUCUGAUUCCACCUGAAGCUCUCGCACUUUUUUCUUCCUCUCCCUUCCAGGUCGCUCUCCAGUUGAAACAAACUCAGAUUCCCUUCCAAUUUACCACUCUAACUUGUGCAUUCACCGGCUUCUUGUGCACUCAACUUCAAUAAUCAUCAUGGGAAGGAUACCAAUAGCCUCGCGUUCAUCAUCUCAACCCGGUUUCUAGCUUAAAUCUCGUGCGGGUGUUUCUGGUGUGCAUGUGGUUCUUUUGCCUCUCCAUUGAAAAUGCAGCUUUUAGUUCUAUUCGGGACGAAAAGAUGUUUAUCCGUGGCUGGGCCAGAUUAGAACCCAAUAUGGAGCCGGUAAAAUUGGUUUGGGUGGUAUUGUGUUUCUUUU